AUACGGAGGGGGCUAGCGUUGCUCGGAAUUACUGGGCGUAAAGCGCGCGUAGGCGGUGUACCCAGUCAGGCGUGAAAGCCCCGGGCUCAACCCGGGAAUUGCGUUUGAUACUGGUAUACUAGAAUCCGAGAGAGGGUAGUGGAAUUCCCAGUGUAGAGGUGAAAUUCGUAGAUAUUGGGAAGAACACCAGUGGCGAAGGCGGCUACCUGGCUCGGCAUUGACGCUGAGGUGCGAAAGCGUGGGGAGCGAACAGGAUUAGAUACCCUGGUAGUCC
Molecule: ribosomal RNA, 274 nt
Filed under: uncultured bacterium
Lineage: Bacteria
Description: partial 16S ribosomal RNA
Rfam family: Bacterial small subunit ribosomal RNA
Source: RNAcentral